GAACUUACCUGAGCGGGAUCAAUGGGUGAUUAGGAAGGCCCAUGGCCUAGGCUGGUGACCUCCGUUGCACUUGGGAAGGGUGUGGUCGAGCCUACUUCAUAAUUUGUGACAGUGCGGACCUGUGUUCGCGCAACUCCUAA
Molecule: small nuclear RNA, 140 nt
Filed under: Nicotiana sylvestris (wood tobacco)
Lineage: Eukaryota; Viridiplantae; Streptophyta; Magnoliopsida; Solanales; Solanaceae
Description: U1 spliceosomal RNA
Rfam family: U1 spliceosomal RNA
About the family: U1 is a small nuclear RNA (snRNA) component of the spliceosome (involved in pre-mRNA splicing). Its 5' end forms complementary base pairs with the 5' splice junction, thus defining the 5' donor site of an intron.
Source: Rfam by way of RNAcentral